CCGAAUGGGGGAACCCGGCAUGUUGAAGACAUGUCAUCCGAAAGGAGGCGAACGCGCUGAACUGAAACAUCUAAGUAGGCGCAGGAGAAGAAAACAAUAGUGAUUUCCGUAGUAGCGGCGAGCGAAGUGGAAAUAGCCCAAACCAAGAUUGUUUCGGCAAUUUUGGGGUUGUAGGACUGGAAUAUCUGAAGAGUAGUAUAGUGGAACAAGUUGGAAAUCUUGGCGUUAAGAGUGAUAGCCUCGUACACGAAAUGCUGCUUAAAGUACCAGUAUCCUGAGUAUGGCGGGACAUGUGAAAUCCUGUCUGAAUCUACCAGAACCAUCUGGUAAGGCUAAAUACUCC
RNAcentral lists this ribosomal RNA (343 nucleotides) under uncultured bacterium. RNAcentral describes it as "bacterial LSU rRNA". It matches the Rfam family "Bacterial large subunit ribosomal RNA", at positions 114 to 476 of the family's 2925-position model. The record is from RNAcentral.